UCGGGAAUAUUGCGCAAUGGAGGAAACUCUGACGCAGUGACGCCGCGUGCAGGAAGAAGGUUUUCGGAUUGUAAACUGCUUUAGACAGGGAAGAAAAAAGACAGUACCUGUAGAAUAAGCUCCGGCUAACUACGUGCCAGCAGCCGCGGUAAUACGUAGGGAGCAAGCGUUAUCCGGAUUUAUUGGGUGUAAAGGGUGCGUAGACGGAGAAGCAAGUUAGUUGUGAAAUCCCUCGGCUUAACCGAGGAACUGCAACUAAAAACUACUUCCCUUGAGUGCUGGAGAGGAAAGUGGAAUUCCUAGUGUAGCGGUGAAAUGCGUAGAUAUUAGGAGGAACACCAGUGGCGAAGGCGACUUUCUGGACAGUAACUGACGUUGAGGCACGAAAGUGUGGGGAGCAAACAGGAUUAGAUACC
This 416-nucleotide ribosomal RNA is filed under the name uncultured bacterium. RNAcentral describes it as "bacterial SSU rRNA". It matches the Rfam family "Bacterial small subunit ribosomal RNA", at positions 355 to 786 of the family's 1533-position model. The record is from RNAcentral.